GGCGAGAUAGUAUAAUGGCUAGUACACUCGGUUCUGAUCGUCUUCUGCUUCCGAGCAAUCUGGGUUCGAUCCCCAGUCACGCCU
RNAcentral lists this transfer RNA (84 nucleotides) under Rhodotorula graminis WP1. It matches the Rfam family "tRNA". From Rfam's summary of the family: Transfer RNA (tRNA) molecules are approximately 80 nucleotides in length. Their secondary structure includes four short double-helical elements and three loops (D, anti-codon, and T loops). The record is from Rfam by way of RNAcentral. Lineage: Eukaryota; Fungi; Basidiomycota; Microbotryomycetes; Sporidiobolales; Sporidiobolaceae.